Molecule: ribosomal RNA, 497 nt
Filed under: uncultured bacterium
Lineage: Bacteria
Description: partial 16S ribosomal RNA
Rfam family: Bacterial small subunit ribosomal RNA
Source: RNAcentral
GAUGAACGCUGGCGGCGUGCCUAAUACAUGCAAGUCGAGCGAACAGAUAAGGAGCUUGCUCCUUUGACGUUAGCGGCGGACGGGUGAGUAACACGUGGGUAACCUACCUAUAAGACUGGGAUAACUUCGGGAAACCGGAGCUAAUACCGGAUAACAUUUGGAACCGCAUGGUUCUAAAGUGAAAGAUGGUUUUGCUAUCACUUAUAGAUGGACCCGCGCCGUAUUAGCUAGUUGGUAAGGUAACGGCUUACCAAGGCGACGAUACGUAGCCGACCUGAGAGGGUGAUCGGCUACACUGGAACUGAGACACGGUCCAGACUCCUACGGGAGGCAGCAGUAGGGAAUCUUCCGCAAUGGGCGAAAGCCUGACGGAGCAACGCCGCGUGAGUGAUGAAGGGUUUCGGCUCGUAAAACUCUGUUAUUAGGGAAGAACAAACGUGUAAGUAACUGUGCACGUCUUGACGGUACCUAAUCAGAAAGCCACGGCUAACUACGUG